UACGGAGGGUGCAAGCGUUAUCCGGAUUCACUGGGUUUAAAGGGUGCGUAGGCGGGUGUGUAAGUCCGUGGUGAAAUCUCUGAGCUUAACUCGGAAACUGCCAUGGGUACUGCAUAUCUUGAAUGUUGUGGAGGUAAGCAGAAUAUGUCAUGUAGCGGUGAAAUGCUUAGAGAUGACAUAGAAUACCUAUUGCGAAGGCAGCUUACUACGCAGAUAUUGACGCUCAUGCACGAAAGCGUGGGGAUCAAACAGG
RNAcentral lists this ribosomal RNA (253 nucleotides) under uncultured bacterium. RNAcentral describes it as "partial 16S ribosomal RNA". It matches the Rfam family "Bacterial small subunit ribosomal RNA", at positions 524 to 776 of the family's 1533-position model. The record is from RNAcentral.